UACGUAGGGUGCGAGCGUUGUCCGGAAUUACUGGGCGUAAAGAGCUCGUAGGUGGUUUGUCGCGUUGUUCGUGAAAACCCACAGCUUAACUGUGGGCGUGCGGGCGAUACGGGCAGACUGGAGUACUGCAGGGGAGACUGGAAUUCCUGGUGUAGCGGUGGAAUGCGCAGAUAUCAGGAGGAACACCGGUGGCGAAGGCGGGUCUCUGGGCCGUAACUGACGCUGAGGAGCGAAAGCGUGGGGAGCGAACAGG
Molecule: ribosomal RNA, 253 nt
Filed under: uncultured bacterium
Lineage: Bacteria
Description: partial 16S ribosomal RNA
Rfam family: Bacterial small subunit ribosomal RNA
Source: RNAcentral